Molecule: ribosomal RNA, 700 nt
Filed under: uncultured bacterium
Lineage: Bacteria
Description: bacterial SSU rRNA
Rfam family: Bacterial small subunit ribosomal RNA
Source: RNAcentral
AGAGUUUGAUCAUGGCUCAGAUUGAACGCUGGCGGCAUGCCUAACACAUGCAAGUCGAACGGCAGCACAGCAGUAGCAAUACUGUGGGUGGCGAGUGGCGGACGGGUGAGUAAUGCAUCGGGAUCUACCCUGACGUGGGGGAUAACCUCGGGAAACCGGGACUAAUACCGCAUACGUCCUACGGGAGAAAGCGGGGGACCUUCGGGCCUCGCGCGGCAGGACGAACCGAUGUGCGAUUAGCUAGUUGGCGGGGUAAUGGCCCACCAAGGCGACGAUCGCUAGCUGGUCUGAGAGGAUGAUCAGCCACACUGGGACUGAGACACGGCCCAGACUCCUACGGGAGGCAGCAGUGGGGAAUAUUGGACAAUGGGCGCAAGCCUGAUCCAGCAAUGCCGCGUGUGUGAAGAAGGCCUUCGGGUUGUAAAGCACUUUUAUCAGGAGCGAAAUACCACGGGUUAAUACCCUAUGGGGCUGACGGUACCUGAGGAAUAAGCACCGGCUAACUUCGUGCCAGCAGCCGCGGUAAUACGAAGGGUGCAAGCGUUAAUCGGAAUUACUGGGCGUAAAGGGUGCGUAGGCGGUUACUUAAGUCUGUCGUGAAAUCCCCGGGCUCAACCUGGGAAUGGCGAUGGAUACUGGGUGGCUAGAGUGUGUCAGAGGAUGGUGGAAUUCCCGGUGUAGCGGUGAAAUGCGUAGAGAU